UCAGUAAUUAAAAACAGUAUUUAAAGUAUUAGAGCAUUUGCGAAUUAAUAAAACUAAGGGUCUCUUUAAUAAAAUUCCCAUUAUAAUUUGGGCCUCUUCUCCCUUUGGUUCGCGAGUGGCCCAACGUCGUUCAAAUGUGGUGAGCCGUCGUCCUCCCCAAUAUCAGAAAUUAGGUCUUGCUCGAAGCUUGCGACAUCUUUAAUCUUCCUGACAUCUUCCUGGACAUCUUUGUAAUCAACUAUUCUCGCAUCAGGUAGCUUUAAUCGAUACACCACGGGGCUUACCUUCCGUUCAAUCUGGAAUCGUCCAAAGAAACGCUUGCUCAAUUUUUGGCAAGUCCGCACAUUUACCGAAUUCUAUCGAUAAGGUUGGAGCUUAAGCCACUCCCAUUGCCCUUAAAGGGCUGUGUUAGCG
This 414-nucleotide long non-coding RNA is filed under the name Zostera marina. RNAcentral describes it as "long non-coding RNA (ZMAR_LNC002177)". Lineage: Eukaryota; Viridiplantae; Streptophyta; Magnoliopsida; Alismatales; Zosteraceae. The record is from RNAcentral.